UAAGUUACUAACUGAUGCCAAACUCAAUUUGACGGAAGUUAGUAAUACUGUUUUGCUAGAGGACAGGAGAGGUUGAUGGAAUUCUGUGUGGAGCGGUGAAAUGCGUUGAUCUGCAGAGGAACACCAAAAAAGGCGAAGGCAUUCAACUAUUCUGUUCCUGACAUUGAGGCAUGAAAGCGUGGGGAGCAAACCGGAUUAGAUACCCGGGUAGUCCACGCCCUAAACGAUGAGCAUUAGAUAUUAGACGUUAAGUUUAGUGUCGCCGCUAACGCUGUAAAUGCUCCGCCUGGGUACUACGGCCGCAAGGCUAAAACUCAAAGGAAUUGACGGGGACCCGCACAAGCGGUGGAGCAUGUGGUUUAAUUCGAUACGACGCGUAGAACCUUACCAGGGCUUGACAUGGAAGGCAAAGUUGAAGAAACUCAACGGAGGUUAUCCUGACACAGGUGGUGCAUGGUCGUCGUCAGUUCGUGCUGUGAAGCGUAUGCUUAAGUGCUAUAACGAACGCAACCCUCAUAUUUAGUUGCUACCAUUUAGUUGAGAACUCUAAAUAGACUGCUAAGAAAACUUAGAGGAAGGUGAGGAUGACCGUCUGAUCAU
This 600-nucleotide ribosomal RNA is filed under the name Candidatus Moeniiplasma glomeromycotorum. RNAcentral's name for it is "bacterial SSU rRNA". It matches the Rfam family "Bacterial small subunit ribosomal RNA", at positions 584 to 1193 of the family's 1533-position model. Lineage: Bacteria; Bacillati; Mycoplasmatota; Mollicutes; Mycoplasmatales; Mycoplasmataceae. The record is from RNAcentral.